GACCACACUUUAUAUCAUGUUGGACCACCUUGGAAUUUGUAGAUACUUUUAUCGUCGAAGGAUGUACUCACAGAACAAAAUGAGUGGAUUGUGCUGUUCUACUCUUCUGUCCAUAGCAGUGGGAUAUGUUUUCUGCACUGCGCGGCUACCCUCUAAUGUCGCGAUGGCUGACGAAGAGAUCUAGGUUCAUGGCUCGCUAGGUUCAGCUGGUUCCACUAACAGCCAUCUCCGAGCACUUGCAUAGAUAUGUGUGUCACAACAUGCAAGCAAAUCAAAUGAAGGAGUGUGGACAAAGUUAUAUAUCGAGCAAAUCAGAUGAAGGCGUGUGGACAAAGUUAUAUAUCCAAUAGUCAAUCAUGUAGUUUACUAUUGUGCAGUAUGAAAAACAGUGUACAUAAGUUAUCUGGGACUAAUACUAUGGCCUGCUUUUGGUUUCUAUCAUACCAAACCUUGCUUAGGUAUUUCAUGUCACAUUGCAUAACAAAUGCGCCGAUGCAUGUAGAUAUGGCCAUUUUUGUAGAUAUUUUA
This is a long non-coding RNA of Triticum dicoccoides, 528 nucleotides long. RefSeq lists it as uncharacterized. The transcript is spliced from 3 exons. Lineage: Eukaryota; Viridiplantae; Streptophyta; Magnoliopsida; Poales; Poaceae. The record is from RefSeq and is a predicted model, not a curated record.